This 708-nucleotide unclassified non-coding RNA is filed under the name Hevea brasiliensis (rubber tree). The record is from RNAcentral. Lineage: Eukaryota; Viridiplantae; Streptophyta; Magnoliopsida; Malpighiales; Euphorbiaceae.
AGAAUUGGUGAAGCCAAAAUGUAGAAAAGAAAGACUGCCAUAAUCACUGGUGAAUAAUACAGGGUUAGCUAAGCUGAACUAAAGUUGUAUGAAAUUACAAGAACAUUAGGAAAGGUUAAUCACAGUUAUACAUGUUUUAUGACCAAAUUGUUCUUUUCCUAGAUUACAUAUAUAUAUAUAAGAAAAUACUAGGAGAGAGAACAUGAAACAAAUCAGUUAAAGAUCGGAUGGGAGGGGUAAGGUUGUAACCAGCAUUUGUUCCCAGGCUGCUGUGAAUUGGAAAGUACGAAAAGCUUCAACUUUCAUGGCUCAAUUGUCAAAUUACAUUCUUUGUUUUUUUCAUCUCCAAUGUAUCACAGUUUCAGAAACAGCAAAACCAUUUCUUUGCUGGUGGAUCCUGGAAUUUUUCUUCAGGUUUGUGGAGAUUAUUGUUCCUCUGUGAGGCUGCUCCUGCCCCUCCUGUUGCAUUAGAUUUUUUCUCAUCUCUGGCUUUGCUAAAUAUUACAGUAAAUCCUUCAGCAGAUGCAGGAUUAUUCACAUCCCAUUCUCCAAAUUUCGGCAAAGGCCGACCCUUAUCCUGCGUCGACAUGAAGGAUUUAUUGCAGCAACGCCUAGCAGGAAGAAAAAAAAAUGCAGAUAGAAUAGAAAAGGAGAGGAGACAAAAGAAGAGAGAGAGAUGGAAAAUUAAGCAGGAUGAGUAAGACAAAG